UACGUAGGUGGCAAGCGUUGUCCGGAUUUAUUGGGUUUAAAGGGUGCGUAGGCGGCCCUGUAAGUCAGUGCUGAAAUAUCCCGGCUUAACCGGGAGGGUGGCAUUGAUACUGCGGGGCUAGAGUACAGAUGAGGUAGGCGGAAUUGACGGUGUAGCGGUGAAAUGCUUAGAUAUCGUCAAGAACACCUAUAGCGAAGGCAGCUUACUAGGCUGUAACUGACGCUGAGGCACGAAAGUGUGGGGAUCAAACAGGAUUAGAUACCCUGGUAGUCCACACUGUAAACGUUGAUUACUCGCUGUGUGCGAUAUACAGUACGCGGCCAAGCGAAAGCGCUAAGUAAUCCACCUGGGGAGUACGCCGGCAACGGUGAA
RNAcentral lists this ribosomal RNA (372 nucleotides) under uncultured bacterium. RNAcentral describes it as "bacterial SSU rRNA". It matches the Rfam family "Bacterial small subunit ribosomal RNA", at positions 524 to 898 of the family's 1533-position model. The record is from RNAcentral.